GACGAACGCUGGCGGCGUGCCUAACACAUGCAAGUCGAACGGGGGUAUUAUUUCGAUGAAUACCUUAGUGGCGAACGGGUGAGUAACACGUAGGUGAUCUACCCUCAAGAUUGGGACAACCCAGGGAAAACUUGGGCUAAUACCGGAUGAAAGCAGCAGUGAUGUUGUUUGAAAGGUGGCGUAAGCUGCCGUUUGGGGAUGAGCCUGCGCUCUAUUAGUUAGUUGGCGGGGUAAAGGCCCACCAAGGCGAUGAUAGAUAGGCGGCCUUAACGGGUGGUCGCCCACACUGGGAUUGAGAUACGGCCCAGACUCCUACGGGAGGCAGCAGUCGAGAAUAGUCUACAAUGGCCGAAAGGCUGAUAGUGCGACGCCGCGUGAACGAAGAAGCCCUUCGGGGUGUAAAGUUCUUUUAUAUGUGAGCAGUGCUUUCUAUGUGAACAGCAUGGGGAGAGAGAUAUUAGCAUAUGAAUAAGCAACGGCUAACUCCGUG
This 490-nucleotide ribosomal RNA is filed under the name uncultured bacterium. RNAcentral's name for it is "bacterial SSU rRNA". It matches the Rfam family "Bacterial small subunit ribosomal RNA", at positions 28 to 507 of the family's 1533-position model. The record is from RNAcentral.